Molecule: ribosomal RNA, 519 nt
Filed under: uncultured bacterium
Lineage: Bacteria
Description: bacterial SSU rRNA
Rfam family: Bacterial small subunit ribosomal RNA
Source: RNAcentral
GAGUUUGAUCCUGGCUCAGGAUGAACGCUGGCGGCGUGCUUAACACAUGCAAGUCGAACGGGAAACCUUUUAUUGAAGCUUCGGCAGAUUUAGCUGGUUUCUAGUGGCGGACGGGUGAGUAACGCGUGGGUAACCUGCCUUAUACAGGGGGAUAACAGUCAGAAAUGACUGCUAAUACCGCAUAAGCCCACAGGUCGGCAUCGACCAGAGGGAAAAGGAGCAAUCCGCUUUGAGAUGGCCUCGCGUCCGAUUAGCUAGUUGGUGAGGUAACGGCCCACCAAGGCGACGAUCGGUAGCCGGACUGAGAGGUUGAACGGCCACAUUGGGACUGAGACACGGCCCAGACUCCUACGGGAGGCAGCAGUGGGGAAUCUUGCGCAAUGGGGGGAACCCUGACGCAGCGACGCCGCGUGCGGGACGGAGGCCUUCGGGUCGUAAACCGCUUUCAGCAGGGAAGAGUCAAGACUGUACCUGCAGAAGAAGCCCCGGCUAACUACGUGCCAGCAGCCGCGGUAAUAC